RNAcentral lists this ribosomal RNA (946 nucleotides) under Salinivibrio kushneri. RNAcentral's name for it is "bacterial SSU rRNA". It matches the Rfam family "Bacterial small subunit ribosomal RNA", at positions 198 to 1124 of the family's 1533-position model. The record is from RNAcentral. Lineage: Bacteria; Pseudomonadati; Pseudomonadota; Gammaproteobacteria; Vibrionales; Vibrionaceae. RNAcentral also lists the same sequence under 1 other name.
GGACCAAAGGUGGCCUCUACAUGUAAGCUAUCGCGUUGGGAUGGGCCCAGUUAGGAUUAGCUAGUUGGUAAGGUAAUGGCUUACCAAGGCGACGAUCCUUAGCUGGUUUGAGAGGAUGAUCAGCCACACUGGGACUGAGACACGGCCCAGACUCCUACGGGAGGCAGCAGUGGGGAAUAUUGCACAAUGGGGGAGACCCUGAUGCAGCCAUGCCGCGUGUGUGAAGAAGGCCUUCGGGUUGUAAAGCACUUUCAGCAGUGAGGAAGGUGGUGUACUUAAUAAGUGCAUGGCUUGACGUUAGCUGCAGAAGAAGCACCGGCUAACUCCGUGCCAGCAGCCGCGGUAAUACGGAGGGUGCGAGCGUUAAUCGGAAUUACUGGGCGUAAAGCGCAUGCAGGCGGUUUGUUAAGUCAGAUGUGAAAGCCCGGGGCUCAACCUCGGAACCGCAUUUGAAACUGGCAGGCUAGAGUCUUGUAGAGGGGGGUAGAAUUUCAGGUGUAGCGGUGAAAUGCGUAGAGAUCUGAAGGAAUACCAGUGGCGAAGGCGGCCCCCUGGACAAAGACUGACGCUCAGAUGCGAAAGCGUGGGUAGCAAACAGGAUUAGAUACCCUGGUAGUCCACGCCGUAAACGCUGUCUACUUGGAGGUUGAGGUUUAGACUUUGGCUUUCGGCGCUAACGCAUUAAGUAGACCGCCUGGGGAGUACGGCCGCAAGGUUAAAACUCAAAUGAAUUGACGGGGGCCCGCACAAGCGGUGGAGCAUGUGGUUUAAUUCGAUGCAACGCGAAGAACCUUACCUACUCUUGACAUCCAGCGAAUCCUUUAGAGAUAGAGGAGUGCCUUCGGGAGCGCUGAGACAGGUGCUGCAUGGCUGUCGUCAGCUCGUGUUGUGAAAUGUUGGGUUAAGUCCCGCAACGAGCGCAACCCUUAUCCUUGUUUGCCAGCAC